GAGAAGAGAAGAGAAGAGAAGAGAAGAGAAGAGAAGAGAAGAGAAGAGAAGAGAAGAGAAGAGAAGAAAGAUUAUGACAUAGAAAAACCUGUGGUGUUGGGGCCUGAAUCCAAUCCAUGCCUUCAUUUUACAGUACAUGUGACUACAUGCUUCUUUCCUAUUCUUACUGGAUAAACAAUUGUGUUUAAUGUUUGUCCUAAAAACAAGUUUGAAAGGCCUACUCAGUAAUUGGCAAGGACAAGUUUUCCCACCCUGAAUAUAUUAUUUUCGAUGAAUACCUUAUUUUGUACUUAGAAAUCCCAGUAAAAAAAAAAUGUAAAUGGAGCUUGAGUAUCAACCAGAGGCCAUCCAAAAUACAUCUGAUCACAAGAUGGAAGAGGCAGAAUCCUAGAGCCAAGGGUUGAAUUAGUCGUAUCUGUUUGCACAACAUAUUAAGAUAGUAUUCAUAUUGCCCUGGCCAGUGCAAGAGCUCUCUACAGUGAAAUCACCACGCCCUGUUCAAAUUUAAAGUUGGCACUUUGGAGGUAAAUGUUCUUUUAUACUUAUAAAAUAGAAGGCAUACACUGCAAAUAAUAUAGAUGGAUUAUAGUAGUUACGUUUUAUUUCAUUCAGUGUUCCCGGUUAACCUAAAUCACCUCUAUUGUGAUUAUAUGGGUUUCGAGAAUUUUGACCAAGGAUGAAUAUUUUUCAUUCAACUUACUUUAAACAUUGUAAACAGUAGUUUAUGCAUUCUAGUAGCAUGGAGAGAUUUGCAUCACUUCAGCCAUGAGAUGGUGAUACUUAAAUUAAUUUUGGCCCAACUGCUGUUAGGAAAUCUGAUUCUCAUUCAGUAGCUUUUCCCCAAGCAUUACUCUGACAUGUGUAAUACAUUUUCUGUCACACAAUUCAUGCAUCCAGUACAGGGUAAAGAAUCAGUUUUACACAAAUUGGUGCUGUUCCAGUGAAAGUUUCUACCAGUCAAUCAGGUGUACUCUAAACAGCCUUUUCAAAUGAUGCCCCAAUGGAUUAUCUGAGCAAUUUCCCACUGAAGGCAGUGAGUAACCACUGAGUGAGGAUGGAACAGAAGGGGACUCCUCUUUGGAAAGAUAGAAUUUGCUGAAGCUCUGGUUUUUGACCAGCUCUCAGAACCACUCUCAGGAGUCAUCCACGUGCUCGGUGGUUGCUGCUCUCUUCAGAGAUUAUAAUCUCCUUCAAGCAGAGACUCAUCUUCUUGCACAACUCUGAAUGCCACUGAAGUCAGAAACUGCACAGCCAUCAACACCGAGAUAAUGCAGAAGCAGGGCUGAACAGAGGACAAUAACGUUUUCUGUGUCACAUUAGCAUCUCAGUGAUAUCUUAAAUGGGAAUGAAAAUCAUGAUAAGCAGUGUGGACACCAUUCAUUCCAAAAGCCAGUAUUUAAAACCCUGAUGUAUUUUGCAAUUCUAUAUCUGAAAGAACAGCUAGGAGUGCCAUGAUCUGCCCCUUUGACAGCCAUGGGAGGUAGAUAUAGAGAAGACAGCCUCAGGCAUGGAUCUGCAGUCACUGCCAGGUACAAAAUUCUCCAAUUUGCAAUGCCACGUGAAAGAUCUCCUGCUGUUUGAGUGCACGUAUGGCCAGCCCAUCUACGAGCAGAUUAAGUAACCCUUCUUUGAUGGACAAUUUUGUUCAACUUUCUUCAUCACAGGCUAAAGUACAUGAGAAGGUAUUAUCAACAUCUGAAAAUAAACUUGCUAUAAUGAGA
Molecule: long non-coding RNA, 1721 nt
Organism: Gallus gallus (chicken)
Lineage: Eukaryota; Metazoa; Chordata; Aves; Galliformes; Phasianidae
Exons: 6
Source: RefSeq, a predicted model, not a curated record